Small nuclear RNA from Bos taurus (domestic cattle), 108 nucleotides. The record is from Ensembl. Lineage: Eukaryota; Metazoa; Chordata; Mammalia; Artiodactyla; Bovidae.
GUGCUCGCUUUGGCAGCACAUAUACUAAAAAUUGGAAUGAUACAGAGAAGAUUAGCAUGGCCCCUGUGCAAGGAUGACACGCAAAAUCAUGAAGUGUUCCGUAUUUUU